Molecule: ribosomal RNA, 716 nt
Filed under: uncultured Neisseriales bacterium
Lineage: Bacteria; Pseudomonadati; Pseudomonadota; Betaproteobacteria; Neisseriales
Description: bacterial SSU rRNA
Rfam family: Bacterial small subunit ribosomal RNA
Source: RNAcentral
GCAGCGAGGAGAAGCUUGCUUCUCUGUCGGCGAGUGGCGAACGGGUGAGUAUAGCAUCGGAACGUGCCAAGUAGUGGGGGAUAACCAAACGAAAGUUUGGCUAAUACCGCGUAAGCUCCAAGGAGGAAAGUAGGGGACCUAAAUAAGGCCUUACGCUAUUUGAUCGGCCGAUGUCGGAUUAGCUAGUUGGUGGGGUAAUGGCUCACCAAGGCAAUGAUCCGUAGCGGGUCUGAGAGGACGAUCCGCCACACUGGGACUGAGACACGGCCCAGACUCCUACGGGAGGCAGCAGUGGGGAAUUUUGGACAAUGGGGGAAACCCUGACCCAGCCAUGCCGCGUGUAUGAAGAAGGCCUUAGGGUUGUAAAGUACUUUUGUUAGGGAAGAAAAGCUAGUUUUUAAUAAAAAUUAGUGAUGACGGUACCUAAAGAAUAAGCACCGGCUAACUACGUGCCAGCAGCCGCGGUAAUACGUAGGGUGCAAGCGUUAAUCGGAAUUAUUGGGCGUAAAGCGAGUGCAGACGGUUACUUAAGCCAGAUGUGAAAUCCCCAAGCUUGACUUGGGACGUGCAUUUGGAACUGGGUGACUAGAGUGUGUCGGAGGGAGGUAGAAUUCCACAUGUAGCGGUGGAAUGCGUAGAGAUGUGGAGGAAUACCGAUGGCGAAGGCAGCCUCCUGGGAUAACACUGACGUUGAGGCUCGAAAGCGUGGGGAGCAA